GUCUUCGGCAGCCUGGCGGGGCGCGCGGCGCUCGGGUGCUCCUCUAGGCAGCUCUUCAGAAUUAGCAUCGGAAUAUAUUUUUACGCUGUCUUCGUGUUUUGUCGUUUACAAAAAGAAAGGAACCUGAGGAGCGCGGCGUCCGUGGAGCAAGGCCUCGAUGCUACGGCUGCUCUCGGGGGAAGAGCUGCCCGCCCUCCCGGCCCGACCGGCCCCGGGAGCUUCGGCUUCGUGGACCGAGGCCCCCCGCCGCACCUGCCUGUGGGAUCACGCCUGAAACAUGCUGGCUGCCCUCGCCCGCCCCCCCGGCGCUGAGGCGUUGCUUCGGUUGGGCACUAGUGCGACAGUCUGAAAGCAGGUGAUACUGUAUGAAACUGCUGGCAGCUGAAUCUGCACAGAGUUUUGGUAAACUUCGAAGUCAUAAAUACAAGUUUCUUCUAGGGGAGUUUGCAUGUGUGCGUCUGGUUUUCCAUUUCAUUUUUUUCUUCUAAAUUUGGAAAUGAUCAGAAGGUGACCAGGGAGUCAGUUAUUAGCGUGAAUACUAUCAAACACACUAAGUAGCCAUGCUGAAAAAAUGGGGAGCCCUCCUCCCCCCACAGUCUUUCCAAGAUUACUUGGCUGUGGAUUGCAAGAAUAUUAUCUUCCUUUCAAAUGUA
RNAcentral lists this long non-coding RNA (653 nucleotides) under Dromaius novaehollandiae (emu). Its description in RNAcentral is "lncRNA (ENSDNVG00000000015.1)". The record is from RNAcentral. Lineage: Eukaryota; Metazoa; Chordata; Aves; Casuariiformes; Dromaiidae.